GGCCUACAAAUGUAAGAACAGGAGCCCGUGAGUACAGGAGUCCAGAGGGGCAAACACCAAUUAUUCUCUCAGGUGUUCGACUUACUGAGCCAGACCAGAAAUUUCAUUUGACUCUGAAGUUUCUUCCGGCACAGUAACUAGAUCAAACCUGAACCGCUUUGAUGUCAGAGACCCAGUUAAAUGAGUGUUCACGUUCGCCUGAAAUGAGCAACAUUUGUUACCAGGCACUGACUCUGUACCAGUGAAAAUGCUUUCAUCUCAAAAAUGGGCUGACAGGACGGCUCUGGUACUCAGUAUGAAUAUUCCAGUGUCUGACUUCUGAAACUUUUGAGUAAUCAACUGAAGGCCAUGAAUGGGAUACAGACAGAAGCAAUACAAGAAAACCACUGUACUUUCAAGGGUACAAAAUGUUGGUGCUUAUUAAAAUAACCAUCUUUGUAAAUAACUGUAGUGUCUUAUUUGCUAAUUCUGAACGCAUGCUGCUUUUGACGCAACUUUUAAACGGCACACCUCUACCCAACUUCGAAAGAGUUGCCUUCCAAAGGCAUGUAUAAAUCCAUCAGCUACGCGAGAAGGAAAU
Rattus norvegicus (Norway rat) is the source of this 580-nucleotide non-coding RNA. Lineage: Eukaryota; Metazoa; Chordata; Mammalia; Rodentia; Muridae. The record is from RefSeq and is a predicted model, not a curated record.